AUGUCUUGUUUUCCUGUGCAAAGAAGCAGCACGCAGACAGCUCUGGAAAGAACCAAAAUCUCAUGGAGCUUGAUUCUAGUUACUAACGGGAUAACGAGGUGUGUGAAUUGCAUAGAUCUGCACGC
Molecule: non-coding RNA, 125 nt
Organism: Lonchura striata (white-rumped munia)
Lineage: Eukaryota; Metazoa; Chordata; Aves; Passeriformes; Estrildidae
Source: RefSeq, a predicted model, not a curated record